RNAcentral lists this ribosomal RNA (1104 nucleotides) under uncultured Bacteroidota bacterium. RNAcentral's name for it is "bacterial SSU rRNA". It matches the Rfam family "Bacterial small subunit ribosomal RNA", at positions 370 to 1482 of the family's 1533-position model. The record is from RNAcentral. Lineage: Bacteria; Pseudomonadati; Bacteroidota.
AAUGGAGGAAACUCUGACGCAGCCAUGCCGCAUGCAGGAUGACAGCCCUACGGGUUGUAAACUGCUUUUCUGCAGGAAGAAUCCAUCCUACGUGUAGGGUGUUGACGGUACUGUAGGAAUAAGCAUCGGCUAACUCCGUGCCAGCAGCCGCGGUAAUACGGAGGAUGCAAGCGUUAUCCGGAUUCAUUGGGUUUAAAGGGUGCGCAGGCGGAUGUGUAAGUCAGAGGUGAAAGCCCACAGCUUAACUGUGGAAUUGCCUUUGAUACUGCAUGUCUUGAGUCUGGUUGCGGUAGGCGGAAUGUAGUAUGUAGCGGUGAAAUGCAUAGAUAUACUACAGAACACCCAUUGCGAAGGCAGCUUACCAAACCAGCACUGACGCUCAGGCACGAAAGCGUGGGGAGCAAACAGGAUUAGAUACCCUGGUAGUCCACGCCGUAAACGUUGAUCACUCGUUGUUGGCAAUACACCGUCAGCGACUAAGCAAAAGCAUUAAGUGAUCCACCUGGGGAGUACGAUCGCAAGGUUGAAACUCAAAGGAAUUGACGGGGGCCCGCACAAGCGGAGGAGCAUGUGGUUUAAUUCGAUGAUACGCGAAGAACCUUACCCGGGCUUAAAUGUAGGGUGCAUCCCCGAGAAAUCGGGGUUUCCUUCGGGACUCCCUACAAGGUGCUGCAUGGUUGUCGUCAGCUCGUGCCGUGAGGUGUCGGGUUAAGUCCCAUAACGAGCGCAACCCCUAUCUUUAGUUGCUAACAGAUAAUGCUGAGGACUCUAAAGAAACUGCCCGCGCAAGCGGUGAGGAAGGUGGGGAUGACGUCAAAUCAGCACGGCCCUUAUGUCCGGGGCUACACACGUGUUACAAUGGCCGGUACAGUGGGCAGCUCAUGCGCGAGCAUUUGCUAAUCUCUAAAACCGGUCUCAGUCCGGAUCGGAGUCUGCAACCCGACUCCGUGAAGCUGGAUUCGCUAGUGAUCGCACAUCAGCCAUGGUGCGGUGAAUACGUUCCCGGGCCUUGUACACACCGCCCGUCAAGCCAUGGAAGCUGGGGGUACCUGAAGUCCGUAACCGUUCAAGGAGCGGCCUAGGGUAAAACCGGUGACUGGGGCU